RNAcentral lists this long non-coding RNA (583 nucleotides) under Vitis vinifera (wine grape). Its description in RNAcentral is "long non-coding RNA (VVIN_LNC006590)". The record is from RNAcentral. Lineage: Eukaryota; Viridiplantae; Streptophyta; Magnoliopsida; Vitales; Vitaceae.
UUUUAAGAGAUAAAAGGGCUUGAAAAGAAGAAGUGGAUUAGAUCAGAUUGGAAACAGCAAGGUGGAUCGAAGAUUAGAUUGAGAGGUGGAUUCGUGAAAUGGGUUGCUCUGAUACCAAUUAUGUUGGCUGCAGUUUCAGCCUGAAACAGAGAAAGGCUAUAGAAAGAAAAAAUGGAAGAGUAACAGCUUGGAACAGACCUGGGAACAGAGGAGUUAAGACAGUCCCCACACAAAACAGAGGACCUUUUUUCUUUCAGUUUGUAUUCUCGGUUCUUCACUUUUUUGUUGUACAGACACCAGAAUUUAAACCAGAUGCAAAGAGAUUUAACCUGUGUAAAUCUCUCCACGUGGAAGCAUGACAACCACUCAAAACAAAAACAAAAAAGUUUUUUUUACAUAUAUAACCUAACACAGCAUAGGCACAUUAUGUUACAUUAUGUUGGCCGCAGUUUCAGCCUGAAACAGAGAAAGGCUAUAGAAAGAAAAAAUGGAAGAGUAACAGCUUGGAACAAACCUGGGAACAGAGGAGUUAAGACAGUCCCCACACAAAACAGAGGACCUUUUUUCUUUCAGUUUGUAUUCU